CUACCUGUCUUAUGUAUAUUUAAAUAUUCCACCAAUAUGUUAUUCAUGUUUUUUGUUUGUUUGUUUUUGUUUUUUUCAGUUCUCACGAACUGCAUUCUCAGGAAAAUCACAGAACAUCCACUAAAGAUUUUAUUCGUGUCUGCCUAUUUCGUAGACCUGUCAUUGCUCAGCUUUAAUGAGACCUAGUCAGCUUAGUUGCAGAAAGAUCCUUACAUGUCCAGGAGGUGAUCUCAUCUUUCAGUUUAGUGGAACCAUUGUUGUGUGCCUUUUGUUGGAAUCAUCCCAUCUUGAUAAUUAAUGUCUCCAAAGAAACAGCUCAAAGUUACCAGUACACAGUGAAAGUUGCAGCAACUUAUUCUCUUUGGAGGGGAUUUCUUGACAUGCUCUAGACUGUUGAUACAAGAAACUACCCUACAGAGACAGGUUCAUGAAAUCUUAUGGAGGCCUGAUUUUUCAUACUAAUAAGGAACCAAGCAAAUACUAUGAAUGCUGAUGGAAUUAGAGAUAACAGGAACUUGUUUCCUCUGAGAAUACAACACUCUGAAAUGUUACAAAUGUUGGAGACAGACUCACCAUCGCAUGCAAGGGGGAGCAAAGACAAGAUUCCGGAAUGUGCCACUUUGGCAUGUGGAUUGUUUCCAGCUGAAGACGAAAGCCAACAGACUCAAGAAGAGCUUUUUAUCUCCCCUUGAACUGCCUAAAAACUUUUAGAUAGUCUAUAGCAAAAGAGAACUAAUGCCAAAGAAAAUUUUUGGUUAUUUGUAGGGCCUGGCAAAUAUUUGUUUACCAAACGUCUGCUUGUCUCAUCUUUCUGAGAUUUGUCUUCCUCCCUUUUGACACUCCACACUUGUAUCCCCUUCUCCUUAGAUCAGAAUGUUAUAUAAGCGUCGAUUACCUGACUGCCAGGGAGCCUCUCAUGUCUUUGUGAGGCUUCUGAAUACACAAAAUUAAAAUUGUUUUUCCCCUGGUAAUCUGUGUUAUGUCAAUACAACUAUUAGACCAGCCAGAGAACCUAGAAGGGAAGAAGGGAAAAGUUUUCUCCCAUACAUAUGUUUGAUGUGAUUGCUUAUAUGUCACUUGUGGGUAGGUUGGAGCCAUAUCACUAAUUUUGGCCAAGGGACUGUGAGUGGAAGGAUGGAAAUAUAUAGUGCUAUUGAUUAAUUAAUUAGUGUGCUUUGUAUGUGGCUCUAUUAGACAGGCAUUACAUAGUAGAAAAUAAUUACAUAAUUUCAAAAAGUAUAAUCUGUUGAUGCUAUUAUGUGGCUCUACUAGAUAGAGAGACAUAACAGAUUUUGGAAAAUAAUUGCAUAUUUUCCCAAACUGUAAUUUACCAGUGUUAUUAGACUAGACUGGGCUUAUGCUGUGGUUUUGUGGUAAUAAAUUAACCAAGAGAUCACAGUCACACAACAAAGUGAAGGUCUGUUUGUUGCCAGUGUAAAGUCAGAUGUGGUUUUGCAGCUUCCCUCCUCAAAGCUACUCCCUCUGAAAACCAUGGCCUUAAAGGCUCUCUGCAGGAAAAUAAGGGUAACUAGUAACUGCCUCAGUGUGGAAGAUAUGCAUCUUCCACCCCCAGAUAUGUUUGAAAUUUAAGAGCCUUUCAUUAGAACAGUAGUGCCAGUCAUAAGAGCAUAUCAUGUUAGGAAAUCUUGAUAGUGAGUAUGUAUACUGAAGAGAAUCUAAAGUGGGGUCAUCUACACCAUUGGCUCAACAGUUAGACUGAAUGCAUUAAAUACCAUCAACUCUGCUCAUUUGUCUUGUGAUCUCUUGGACAACCUUACCUGUCUUAGACUGAGUUUUUUCAUCUGCAAUAAUAUCCAAUUAAUAUUAUUGUUCUAAAAAUUAGUCAUUCAUGAGUAUGGCACUGUACAUGGAAAUAACAACUAUUUAAUAAUUAUUAGAUAUAAAAUUGUAAUUUCU
Molecule: long non-coding RNA, 1917 nt
Organism: Felis catus (domestic cat)
Lineage: Eukaryota; Metazoa; Chordata; Mammalia; Carnivora; Felidae
Exons: 5
Source: RefSeq, a predicted model, not a curated record